AUUGAACGCUGGCGGCAGGCCUAACACAUGCAGGUCGAACGAGUGGCGGACGGGUGAGGAAUGUAUGGGGACUGACCGAUAGAGGGGGAUAACUACUGGAAACGGUAGCUAAUCCCGCAUACUAUCGGAUAACCCAUAUGGGAUUAGCUAGUUGGUGAGGUAAUGGCUCACCAAGGCGACGAUCCCUAGCUGGUCUGAGAGGAUGAUCAGCCAGACUGUGACUGAUACACGGCCCAGACUCCUACGGAGGCAGCAGUGGGGAAUAUUGCACAGUGGGCGCAAGCCUGAUGCAGCCCUGCCGCGUGUAUGAAGAAGGCCCUGGGGUUGUAAAGUACUUUCAGUCGGGAGGCGUUACCGACAGAAGAAGCUCCGGCUAACUCCGUGCCAGCAGCCGCGGUAAUUC
Molecule: ribosomal RNA, 403 nt
Filed under: uncultured bacterium
Lineage: Bacteria
Description: partial 16S ribosomal RNA
Rfam family: Bacterial small subunit ribosomal RNA
Source: RNAcentral